AUCCCAUGAUGAUGGCACCUACAAGGUAAUUCUUUGAAUCUCUCCCAUGCCUCGUACAAAGCUUCAUCAUCCAAUUGUUGAAAAGUGGUUAUCUCAUUUCACAACUU
Non-coding RNA from Gossypium hirsutum (cotton), 107 nucleotides. The record is from Rfam. NCBI's taxonomy places the organism in Eukaryota, Viridiplantae, Streptophyta, Magnoliopsida, Malvales, Malvaceae.